AUUGAACGCUGGCGGCAGGCCUAACACAUGCAAGUCGAGCGGCAGCGACUUAACCGAACCUCCGGGGAACGUUAAGGGCGGCGAGCGGCGGACGGGUGGGUAAUGCCUGGGAAUAUGCCCUGAUGUGGGGGAUAACUAUUGGAAACGAUAGCUAAUACCGCAUAAUCUCUUCGGAGCAAAGAGGGGGACCUUCGGGCCUCUCGCGUCAGGAUUAGCCCAGGUGGGAUUAGCUUGUUGGUGAGGUAAUGGCUCACCAAGGCAACGAUCCCUAGCUGGUCUGAGAGGAUGAUCAGCCACACUGGAACUGAGACACGGUCCAGACUCCUACGGGAGGCAGCAGUGGGGAAUAUUGCACAAUGGGGGAAACCCUGAUGCAGCCAUGCCGCGUGUGUGAAGAAGGCCUUCGGGUUGUAAAGCACUUUCAGUAGGGAGGAAGGUAGUGUAGUUAACACCUGCAUUAUUUGACGUUACCUACAGAAGAAGCACCGGCUAACUCCGUGCCAGCAGCCGCGGUAAUACGGAGGGUGCGAGCGUUAAUCGGAAUUACUGGGCGUAAAGCGCAUGCAGGCGGCCUGUUAAGUCAGAUGUGAAAGCCCGGGGCUUAACCUCGGAAUUGCAUUUGAAACUGGCAGGCUAGAGUCUUGUAGAGGGGGGGUAGAAUUUCAGGUGUAGCGGUGAAAUGCGUAGAGAUCUGAAGGAAUACCAGUGGCGAAGGCGGCCCCCUGGACAAAGACUGACGCUCAGAUGCGAAAGCGUGGGGAGCAAACAGG
Molecule: ribosomal RNA, 770 nt
Filed under: uncultured bacterium
Lineage: Bacteria
Description: bacterial SSU rRNA
Rfam family: Bacterial small subunit ribosomal RNA
Source: RNAcentral